Molecule: long non-coding RNA, 776 nt
Organism: Oreochromis aureus
Lineage: Eukaryota; Metazoa; Chordata; Actinopteri; Cichliformes; Cichlidae
Source: Ensembl
AUUGAUCAUGUAGUAAAUCAUGGUCACUCAAUGAGAGAGGCUGGUCAGAGAGUGCAGCCAAAUCUGCAACGCUCUACAGUGGCAUCUAUUGUUAGAGUUUUCCGGCAAACCAACAGGACUCAACGGUUACCUCACACAGGAGGGAGAGGACGGAUGUUCACUGAUGUGCAGGAAACUGCCAUUGUUGAUAUGGUCAUCAGAAACAAUGGGAUAAAACUCACUGAGAUUAGACACAGAGUCUUGGCAGACAACGUUACUUUCGCAAAUAUUCACAGUGUAAGCAUAACAACAAUUUCUAGAGUCCUGAAAAAACAUCAGGUCAGGAUGAAACAGUUGUACACUGUGCCUUUUGAGAGGAACUCUGAACAUGUCAAGCAACUCAGGAACCAGUAUGUCCAGGAUGAGCUGGAUGACGCUGCAGAGGUUUGGAAUACACCAUCAGGCCAUCAGAAAACAUCAAUAUCCCCAGUGGUCGGCUAACGUACCGUAUACAUUACCUGAGCUCAAAGGGACAAGAGACUUCCUUUGCCCCACUGAAGAAGAACAUGUUGAACUGUUUAAAAACGAGUAUGUUUUUCCACUGACCGAACCAUGUGAUCCAGAUGUAUAUGAACUGUGCAAUAUCCUUAUGAACCCCAUCUGACUCCACCAACAGACCCAUAUCAGGCUGUGAACUUGUACAUACAUGUAAGAGAGUCCAUCAUGGCAUCAGUGUAAAACACAUGCACUGCAGCAGAGAACAUUUCUCAAAAUUGACCUGUGCUAUAUGUGAGAAA